Molecule: transfer RNA, 86 nt
Filed under: Pseudomonadota bacterium
Lineage: Bacteria; Pseudomonadati; Pseudomonadota
Description: tRNA-Leu
Rfam family: tRNA
About the family: Transfer RNA (tRNA) molecules are approximately 80 nucleotides in length. Their secondary structure includes four short double-helical elements and three loops (D, anti-codon, and T loops).
Source: RNAcentral
GCCCGGGUGACGGAACGGCAGACGUGGCGGACUUAAAAUCCGCUGCCCGCCAGGGCGUGAGGGUUCGAGUCCCUCCCCGGGCACCA